This 776-nucleotide ribosomal RNA is filed under the name uncultured Neocallimastigales. Its description in RNAcentral is "partial large subunit ribosomal RNA". It matches the Rfam family "Eukaryotic large subunit ribosomal RNA", at positions 23 to 635 of the family's 3401-position model. Lineage: Eukaryota; Fungi; Neocallimastigomycota; Neocallimastigomycetes; Neocallimastigales. The record is from RNAcentral.
AGAGAUGUGUGAUGACGCAUAUCAAUAAGCGGAGGAAAAGAAACUAACAAGGAUUCCCUUAGUAACGGCGAGUGAAGCGGGAAGAGCUCAAAUUUGAAAUCUUCAAGGUUCUACCUUGACGAAUUGUAGUUUAUAGAAGUGUUUUCUGGUAGUAGAGUGGCAAAAGUUCUUUGGAAUAGGACAUCAUAGAGGGUGAGAAUCCCGUAUUUGGUCAUUCUUUCUAGCUUUGUGAUACACUUUCAACGAGUCGGAUUGUUUGGGAAUGCAGUCCAAAAUGGGUGGUAAAUUUCAUCUAAAGCUAAAUAUUGGCGAGAGACCGAUAGCGAACAAGUACCGUGAGGGAAAGAUGAAAAGAACUUUGAAAAGAGAGUUAAACAGUACGUGAAAUUGUCAAAAGGGAAGCGUUUGACACCAGUGUUGUUUUUCCGAAAAUCAAUUACGAAUGUUUUGUUUUUAAGAAGUUAUGACUUCAUCGGCUUGCUUCUUUCUUUACGAAACUUUCUUAAUGCACUUUUCGGUUAACAAGUCAACAUCAAUUUCUUUUGUUGUAAAAGGGUACUGAGGAAGGUGGCUUUCUUUUCGGAGAAAGUGUUUAUAGCCUUGUACCUCUGCAAUCGGAGAGAUUGAGGUCUGCAGCGUAGAUCCUUCGGGGUUAGAUACAUUUGUGCUAAGUUAUAGCUUUUCAUAGGACAACUUGUUGACUAUGUUAAGUCUUGUAGCUUACUCGCUUAUGCUAUUUUACCUACGCUUAGGAUGUUGACAGCAGUAUAGACUGU